UGUUUAACAUGCAUACAUCUGCAUUUUAUUUCUUUCUAGAAUGAAAGCCAUAGAAAAAUAUGUACCUGAAAACGCAGCAAGAACUUAAACUCCAACUGCUUUUCUCUGCAAGAAGCCACAUUUGACAUUAUACUUCAUCUUGAAAAACUUAGUUUAGUUGGCCGUAAAAUGAUAUGAUAUUGAAUGGUUUUGCCUCAUCUUAUUUUCUAAUCAGGUACAUAAAUCCUAAGUACGCUGUGCAGGUGCUGCUGCUAAGACUGAUUAGAAUUAAGGGCAACAUAAAAAAUAGUCUUGUAAAAUCAGGUGCAUUUGGACCUUUGCACUGGAAAGACUGAGAAGCCAGAAGUUUAACAGGAAUCACUUUUCUCAGUUUCCUUUGACAGACAUUUCAACAGGAAGAACCUAGAAGGAAGAUGUUUAGAGAGGCUGAUGGAAAAUAAUGCUUUGAAAUGGCUGCAUCCAGAUUAAUCAGCUAUAUCUGGUUUUCCGCAGGACUCCACUGAGAGUGGAUGGAAGAGUUGCCAAAGAAGCAACUGAUGCCCAUUUUGCCACAGCAGCAGUUCUGGUGCUAAUAUUUCAGGAAUUAAAAUCUUAUCUUUAAGGACCCGUGACCAGGAAAUGAAGAUGAUUUGUUCUUGUGACAAAGAAAGAGAUGAAUCUAUGCUUAUGGAAAACAUUUAUCUUUCACUAGCUUUAUUAUAACAAGGUGUGAUUGUUGCUCAGAGUUUUCAGGGCUAUCCCACCACGUAGCAGCCUGCAUUCUCAGCUAACUCCAUAUCAGAGAAAAUCUGUUCCCAUGAGCUCAGCAAAUGUUUGCAUGGUGGACUGGCAAAGACAGUAAGCCAAGAGCAAUAUGGGGAAGGGAGCAGCACUGAGCCAUGAAGAAACGCAAAGUACUCCAUGUAUGAGAGCCAACACAGCUGCUGGAACCAUAAGGAAUCAUCUAUGGAAGCUUGAACGUGUAGUGAGGGCAACCUCCCUGACAGCAUCCCAGGGCCAUGACACUUGUCCCCAAAAUGAGGAGAUCUGCCAGUUUGGAGUACUGGGAGUGGAUGGAAGCAGGUUUCUGACCCAGACAUCCAGUCCUGUGAGAGAUGGGUGGAGUCCCAUCUCAGGUCAUGCUGCUCAGGUCAGUAAUUAAU
Non-coding RNA from Coturnix japonica (Japanese quail), 1142 nucleotides. Lineage: Eukaryota; Metazoa; Chordata; Aves; Galliformes; Phasianidae. The record is from RefSeq and is a predicted model, not a curated record.